GGUGCCCAUUCAAAACCCUAACUCAAGAAACCCCCAAACCCCAGAGACAAAUGGGUCGUGUGAUCCGUGCUCAGCGUAAGGGUGCAGGCUCCGUCUUCAAGUCCCACACCCACCACAGGAAAGGCCCUGCGAGAUUCCGCUCUCUCGACUUCGGCGAACGCAAUGGGUACCUGAAGGGUGUGGUCACAGACGUUAUCCACGAUCCAGGUCGAGGCGCUCCGCUUGCCCGGAUCACAUUUCGUCACCCAUUCCGCUACAAGCACCAGAAGGAGCUUUUUAUUGCUGCUGAAGGGAUGUAUACUGGUCAGUUAGUGUACUGUGGAAAGAAGGCAAAUUUGAUAGUGGGAAAUGUUUUACCUUUGAGAUCAAUACCUGAGGGAGCUGUUGUGUGUAACGUGGAGCAUCAUGUAGGAGAUCGGGGAGUGUUCGCUAGAUGUUCUGGGGAUUAU
RNAcentral lists this unclassified non-coding RNA (449 nucleotides) under Hevea brasiliensis (rubber tree). The record is from RNAcentral. Lineage: Eukaryota; Viridiplantae; Streptophyta; Magnoliopsida; Malpighiales; Euphorbiaceae.